Molecule: ribosomal RNA, 587 nt
Filed under: Trichoderma viride
Lineage: Eukaryota; Fungi; Ascomycota; Sordariomycetes; Hypocreales; Hypocreaceae
Also listed under: 1 other name
Description: SSU rRNA
Rfam family: Bacterial small subunit ribosomal RNA
Source: RNAcentral
GCCUAACGGCUGAACUGGCAACUUGGAGAAGUGGCAAGUCCUAUUUUGAUCAUAUCUUUGAAUAUGAUCUAUAGGAUUGUAUUAAAAUUGAAUAAAGCUUUGUUUAUAUAUUGAUAAUGACAGUAUAUAUAUCGUGUCUUGACUAAUUGCGUGCCAGCAGUCGCGGUAAUACGUAAGAGACUAGUGUUAUUCAUCUUAAUUAGGUUUAAAGGGUACCUAGACGGUCAAUAUAGCUUCUAAAAUGUUAGUACUUGACUAGAGUUUUAUGUAAGAGGGCAGUACUUGAGGAGGAGAGAUGAAAUUCUAUGAUACCAAAGGGACUCGGUAAAGGCGAAGGCAGCCUUCUAUGUAAAAACUGACGUUAAAGGACGAAGGCACAGAGCACAAACAGGAUUAGAUACCCAAGUAGUCUUUGCAGUAAAUGAUGAAUGCCAUAGGUUAGAUUAAGAUUUAGUAUUAUAAUUAUAAAUUAAAUAUUAAACAUUAUCUGGUCUAUAAAUGAAAGUGUAAGCAUUUCACCUCAAGAGUAAUGUGGCAACGCAGGAACUGAAAUCACUAGACCGUUUCUGACACCAGUAGUGAAGUAU